AUGCCCACACUUUUUGGGGAGGAGGCUGGACCCUGCGCGCCGCUCAUCCCGCCUGGCCCCUGGGGGUCCCAAACCCCGGAGCACGGCUGGGAGAGGAGCAGGGGUCCCUCUCCCCCAAACCGAGUCCCGUGGGGGCGAGAGGUACCCCCGGGAAAAAAACAACCCCCACAGAAAAGUUCAGGCGCCCCAAAGCUGCAAAGCCCCGAGUUCCCCUGCCGCCCCCCCGCCGUACCUGCGCGGGUGGGAGCGGGUCCGUGCGCGCAGAGCAGCGCGCACAGGAGCGCGCAGCGCAGCGCCCCGGGACCCGGCGGGGCCAUGGCCCGGCCCGGCUCGGCUCGGCCCGGCUCGGCACGGUCCCGGCGGGAGGUGUGUCCGCGGAUCUCCCGGGAGAUCGGAGCGGAGCAGAUGCGCGCCCGCGGGAGGCGGCCCCGGCGGCGGCGGGGGAGGGGGGGCGGCCCCGCCUCGUCCCGCCCCGCCCCGCCCCGGCGGGCCCGGCCCGGGCUGUGGGGGUCUCUCACGGGGGGUGUGCCCCCCACACACACCCACACACCCACACACCCACACACCCACACACCGGGCGUGGGAAACCCGGGGCUGCACGGGCUGCACACACGGCACACCUGCGCACACCUGUGCACACCUGUGUGCACCUGUACACACAUGUACACCCCUGUGCACACCUGUACACACCUGUGUGCACCUGUACAUACCUGUACACACCUGUACACACAUGUACACCCCUGUGCACCCCUGUGCACACCUGUACACACUACACCCCUGUGCACACCUGUACACACCUGUACACACCUGUACACACCUGUACACACCUGUACACACUGCACCCCUGUGCACACCUGUACACACUACACUCCUGUGCAUACCUGUACACACCUGUACACACUGCACCCCUGUACACACCUGUACACACCUGUACACACCUGUACACACCUGUACACACAUGUACACCCCUGUGCACACCUGUACACACCUGUACACACUGCACCCCAGUGCAUACCUGUACACACCUGUACACACUGCACCCCUGUGCACACCUGUACACACUACACUCCUGUGCAUACCUGUACACACCUGUACACACCUGUACACACUGCACCCCUGUGCACACCUGCACAUACUGCACACAAGUGA
This 1149-nucleotide long non-coding RNA is filed under the name Taeniopygia guttata (zebra finch). RNAcentral's name for it is "lncRNA (ENSTGUG00000022075.1)". Lineage: Eukaryota; Metazoa; Chordata; Aves; Passeriformes; Estrildidae. The record is from RNAcentral.